AACUCGUAGACCGUUUGGUGCUUUCUGUUAAAAAAAGUCUUUACCCACGAUUUCCAUGUAAAGUGAGUGAAUUUACUGAGGAUUAAUUGAAAAUAUCUUAUUCUGGGCAGGGUCGCACUUGUGCUCCUAUAUGCAGUUAAUGGAGAGCUGGAACUGCAGCUAAAACACAAUUAAUAUAUUUAUAGGGAAUAUUUAUUGGGCGGCUCAAAAAGCAGGAAAGCAGCUGGCAAGAGACUUUUUUAAUUUGAACAAUAAUUGUAGUUGCAGUAUUUAACUUAAUCCUGCAUC
This is a long non-coding RNA of Belonocnema kinseyi, 288 nucleotides long. RefSeq lists it as uncharacterized. The record is from RefSeq and is a predicted model, not a curated record. NCBI's taxonomy places the organism in Eukaryota, Metazoa, Arthropoda, Insecta, Hymenoptera, Cynipidae. The transcript is spliced from 3 exons.